GAGGAAUUUUGCGCAAUGGGGGAAACCCUGACGCAGCAACGCCGCGUGAGUGAUGAAGGCUUUCGGGUCGUAAAACUCUGUCAAGUGGGAAGAACAAAUCUGAUGCUAAUAUCAUCAGAAUCUGACGGUACCA
RNAcentral lists this ribosomal RNA (133 nucleotides) under uncultured bacterium. RNAcentral's name for it is "partial 16S ribosomal RNA". It matches the Rfam family "Bacterial small subunit ribosomal RNA", at positions 356 to 480 of the family's 1533-position model. The record is from RNAcentral.